This 494-nucleotide ribosomal RNA is filed under the name uncultured bacterium. Its description in RNAcentral is "bacterial SSU rRNA". It matches the Rfam family "Bacterial small subunit ribosomal RNA", at positions 28 to 523 of the family's 1533-position model. The record is from RNAcentral.
GAUGAACGCUAGCGGCAGGCUUAACACAUGCAAGUCGAGGGGUAUUGGUUUUCGGACCAAGAGACCGGCGCACGGGUGCGUAACGCGUAUGCAAUCUACCUUUUGCAGAGGGAUAGCCCAGAGAAAUUUGGAUUAAUACCUCAUAGUAUAGUACUUUGGCAUCAAGGAACUAUUAAAGUCACAACGGCAAAAGAUGAGCAUGCGUCCCAUUAGCUAGUUGGUAAGGUAACGGCUUACCAAGGCUACGAUGGGUAGGGGUCCUGAGAGGGAGAUCCCCCACACUGGUACUGAGACACGGACCAGACUCCUACGGGAGGCAGCAGUGAGGAAUAUUGGACAAUGGGCGCAAGCCUGAUCCAGCCAUGCCGCGUGCAGGAUGACGGUCCUAUGGAUUGUAAACUGCUUUUAUACAGGAAGAAACACUCCGACGUGUCGGAGCUUGACGGUACUGUAAGAAUAAGGAUCGGCUAACNCCGUGCCAGCAGCCGCGGUAA